This is a long non-coding RNA of Vigna unguiculata (cowpea), 1094 nucleotides long. The record is from RefSeq and is a predicted model, not a curated record. NCBI's taxonomy places the organism in Eukaryota, Viridiplantae, Streptophyta, Magnoliopsida, Fabales, Fabaceae.
UUGUUAUCGUAAUAUAGUCUUCAUAUGAGCACGACCUAUGUUUGGCAGUGUUUUCCCUUCGUAACAUGAAUGGACAUGAAGAAGUCACUCAACAAUUUCUGGCUCAACACGUGUGUAUGUAAGUGAUGAUAUAAAACCCCAGAAAUGCACACUCUGUCAUGACUUAAUAAAUUAGUUUCAGGCCUUGCACUUUUACUAUGUGAACUAUGUUUCUGCAGAUAUUUCGCCUAGAAAUUAAGAAAAGUACAUGUAAAAUUUUCCACCAUAAUAAGGUUGCCGAGAAAGGUGAUUCAAAGACUUGACAGUUUAAGGCGACAGACAGCAUCACAUGGCAUUGUCCAUCAAAUAAAUGCCACGCAUAACAAAAUUCUCAUUCUAGGCUCUCAGUGUCUGUAUACCUGCAAGGUCUUUUGGAAAGGAAGGCUUAUGAUGGGGGACCACAGUGGCCACAACAGCAGAAGAAUUUCACAAGGAAUGAUCCAAAAGCAUAUGCCAAAAAACAAUUUCUCAGCGAAUAUCCAUUUUUAAUGUGCGAAUAAUGUAGACUAUAUUGCCUCUUUGUGCUGCAUAUUGCAGCACAGCAAGCAGAAGGGGUACCAGGUAUGCUUCAAUUUCAGAGGUAGAGAAGAAUAACAGUGUGAUUCUCCCUUGGCAGGUGCUACAUCUAUUCUUCAUCAGAAUGGCCUUUCUGCCAAAGGAGAAUUGCCCUGCCAUUCUACAGUCCUACCAUCUUGCCAAUUACAUUUCACAGUUUAUCAUGAGUGCAAGUGUAUAUAUAUCUAUAUAUAUGCUAAAGCCUAUUUAUAUAGGAUAUUUUUUGUCAACAGAAUUUAGUGCAGAAACAAAGCAUAAGCGAUGGUGCACUUAUUGUAUUGUAUUUGUUACCCUCACUGAUUUGAUCAGGAAAAUCUACUGAUGUAUAUAUGCAUUUUAGCUAUUUUGGUGGCUGAAAAUCAGUAUGACAUCUUGUGUAAUUAAAUGAUAUUCAUAUGAGAAUUCUCCAACUGCAGGAUACACCAUUUUAUUCCUUUGAGUUUAACAUAUUUUCUUAUCCAUUGUGAAUGAAUGUCUUCACGUUUCCUUGUCUCUGUAUG